AGCAGGGAUCUGAUCUGAAAAUAUUUUAAAUUUAAAACCUUUUUAACUUAUAGAAGAAAAUGAUGUGUGAACUCAAAGUAUAAACCUUUGACCUUUUAAACAAUAAUAGCUCCUCUUUGAGGAUAUUGAAUAUUAUGAGAAGGUGAACUGGAGUUUGACCUGUUUUCAGGAUUCUGUCUCUCCCACUGGGGCUAAAAGAAAUAAUGCAGAAUUUUUAUAAACUCUUUCUUUGCUUCAAUAUGUUUCAUUGUGUUUCUCUUUUUACACUGCUUCCUCCUUUCCCUUUACUGAAAUGCUGCAUAUGAAAUGUAUCUUUUCUGCCUUAUUUUAUCUUGCUUUCUCCGUGGCUGUUCCCUGCCCUCUGUUGGCAGGUUCCUUUGGACCUGUCUGUCUUGGGUGCAAGAGAGAAUCACAUAUAGUUAAAGUUCUUUUUUUGCAGGUCAGAUCAGUCAAGCAGAGAGAAGACUGGAAGAUAGGACAAAAUCCCUUUUUACUAGCCGUUGGGAGCUGGAAUUGAAUUUACCAUCCCUCUGUGUUGAAGAAGUCCUAAGGCUGCUAUUUCUACUGGACUUGGGGCAAGAGAUGUUGUCGGGGGUCUUGCCUUUGACAUGGAUUCCAGCUACAUGCUACUCAAAGGUAAGGGCUGUAUUAUUCACCUUUUCUUGUAUUCACCCUUACAGCUGUGCAAGUCAGCCAGUGUUCAAUAAAGAAAUAUCAUACCUAAGAAUAAAA
Leopardus geoffroyi (Geoffroy's cat) is the source of this 732-nucleotide long non-coding RNA. RefSeq lists it as uncharacterized. The transcript has 2 exons. NCBI's taxonomy places the organism in Eukaryota, Metazoa, Chordata, Mammalia, Carnivora, Felidae. The record is from RefSeq and is a predicted model, not a curated record.